GACGAACGCUGGCGGCGUGCCUAAUACAUGCAAGUCGAACGCACAGUUUAUACCGUUGCUUGCUCCACCAUACACUGUGAGUUGCGAACGGGUGAGUAACGCGUAGGUAACCUGCCUGGUAGCGCGGGAUAACUAUUGGAAACGAUAGCUAAUACCGCAUAAUAUUAAUUAUUGCAUGAUAAUUGAUUGAAAGAUGCAAUUUCAUCACUACCAGCUGGACCUGCGUUGUAUUAGCUAGUAGGAGAGGUAACGGCGCACCCAGGCGAACAUACAUAUCCGACCUGGGAGGGGGGUUGGGCAACAUGGGAAUGAGAACACGCCCCAAAUCCUACGGGAGGCAGCAGUAGGGAAUCUUCGGCAAUGGACGGAAGGCUGACCGAGCAACGCCGCGGGAGUGAAGAAGGUUUUUGGAACGGAAAGCUCUGUUGUAAGAGAAGAAAGGGUGUGAGAGGGGAAAGUGCACACUGUGACGGUACCUGACCAGAAAGGCACGGCUAACUACGUG
RNAcentral lists this ribosomal RNA (505 nucleotides) under uncultured bacterium. RNAcentral describes it as "partial 16S ribosomal RNA". It matches the Rfam family "Bacterial small subunit ribosomal RNA", at positions 28 to 507 of the family's 1533-position model. The record is from RNAcentral.